GAUGAACGCUGGCGGCGUGCCUAAUACAUGCAAGUCGAGCGAAUGAUGAGGAGCUUGCUCCUCUGAUUUAGCGGCGGACGGGUGAGUAACACGUGGGUAAUCUGCCUGUAAGACGGGGAUAACUCCGGGAAACCGGGGCUAAUACCGGAUAACAAGAGAAGAAGCAUUUCUUCUUUUUGAAAGUCGGUUUUGGCUGACACUUAAAGAUGAGCCCGCGGCGCAGUAGCUAGUUGGUGAGGUAACGGCUCACCAAGGCGACGAUGCGUAGCCGACCUGAGAGGGUGAUCGGCCACACUGGGACUGAGACACGGCCCAGACUCCUACGGGAGGCAGCAGUAGGGAAUCUUCGGCAAUGGGCGAAAGCCUGACCGAGCAACGCCGCGUGAGCGAUGAAGGCCUUCGGGUCGUAAAGCUCUGUUGUUAGAGAAGAACAAGUACGAGAGUAACUGCUCGUACCUUGACGGUACCUAACCAGAAAGCCACGGCUAACUACGUGCCAGCCGCCGCUGUAA
This 512-nucleotide ribosomal RNA is filed under the name uncultured bacterium. RNAcentral describes it as "partial 16S ribosomal RNA". It matches the Rfam family "Bacterial small subunit ribosomal RNA", at positions 28 to 523 of the family's 1533-position model. The record is from RNAcentral.